UGACAUGGGUGAAUGGUCAAUGUCUUGCCUU
Molecule: non-coding RNA, 31 nt
Filed under: Rattus norvegicus (Norway rat)
Lineage: Eukaryota; Metazoa; Chordata; Mammalia; Rodentia; Muridae
Source: RNAcentral